RNAcentral lists this ribosomal RNA (292 nucleotides) under uncultured Undibacterium sp. RNAcentral's name for it is "partial 16S ribosomal RNA". It matches the Rfam family "Bacterial small subunit ribosomal RNA", at positions 505 to 796 of the family's 1533-position model. The record is from RNAcentral. Lineage: Bacteria; Pseudomonadati; Pseudomonadota; Betaproteobacteria; Burkholderiales; Oxalobacteraceae.
GUGCCAGCAGCCGCGGUAAUACGUAGGGUGCAAGCGUUAAUCGGAAUUACUGGGCGUAAAGCGUGCGCAGGCGGUUAUAUAAGUCAGAUGUGAAAUCCCCGGGCUCAACCUGGGAACUGCAUUUGAGACUGUAUGGCUAGAGUGUGUCAGAGGGGGGUAGAAUUCCACGUGUAGCAGUGAAAUGCGUAGAUAUGUGGAGGAAUACCGAUGGCGAAGGCAGCCCCCUGGGAUAACACUGACGCUCAUGCACGAAAGCGUGGGGAGCAAACAGGAUUAGAUACCCUUGUAGUCC